This is an RNA transcript of Oryza sativa Japonica Group (Japanese rice), 547 nucleotides long. RefSeq lists it as uncharacterized. The record is from RefSeq and is a predicted model, not a curated record. Lineage: Eukaryota; Viridiplantae; Streptophyta; Magnoliopsida; Poales; Poaceae.
CGUGUACUAGACCUAAAUACUCCAGUUGGUAACCAAAACGGAUUUCAUUAGAAGAUUGUGAAUAAUUCCGUUCUUCCGGCCUCUCCGUUCGUAGGGGCGGAAUUUGCUUCGCCGGGCACAAGCGAUCGAGGGCACCACUCCACGGCAAGGUGCAUAAUGCCUCGACUGGGGGACCCAGAUGCUCAUUUGGUACCGAGAGUUUUUUCUGAGAUUGCAUAUGUCUAUUGCAUCCACUAUUUUAGUCCAAACAAGACCUCCCUAUAUUUACUCUCAGAUUGGUAUGAUUUAUUUGGAGGAUGCCUUUUGAUGGCAUGUAACGCUAUGUACUUAGUCCUAGACAAGAUUGACUCGCCCAAUGCACGACCAUGGAGUAGAGGAAGAUUUUAGAUACAUGAUUAUGCAUGCUAUCCUUAAUUGCUCAGUUCAAAUUGAGAUGUGAUAACGUUGAUAUGUACAGCAUCAUAUUCUAGUCUAGGAUAACUAUUCGUUUUACUUGAAAUUCGAAGCAGAUUGAUUCUAUCAGUUAAUGCAAAUAACAGUCCUGGAA